This 294-nucleotide ribosomal RNA is filed under the name uncultured bacterium. RNAcentral describes it as "partial 16S ribosomal RNA". It matches the Rfam family "Bacterial small subunit ribosomal RNA", at positions 333 to 642 of the family's 1533-position model. The record is from RNAcentral.
UCUUACCUACGGGGGGCAGCAGUGGGGAAUAUUGCACAAUGGGGGAAACCCUGAUGCAGCGACGCCGCGUGGGCGAAGAAGUAUUUCGGUAUGUAAAGCCCUAUCAGCAGGGAAGAAGAAAUGACGGUACCUGAGUAAGAAGCACCGGCUAAAUACGUGCCAGCAGCUGCGGUAAUACGUAUGGUGCAAGCGUUAUCCGGAUUUACUGGGUGUAAAGGGAGCGCAGGCGGCACGGCAAGCCUGAUGUGAAAGCCCGCGGCCCAACCGCGGGACUGCAUUGGGAACUACCGGGCU